GAUGAACGCUGGCGGCGUGCUUAACACAUGCAAGUCGAACGAUUAACCCGCCUUCGGGCGGUCAUAGAGUGGCGAACGGGUGAGUAACACGUGACCAACCUGCCCCAGACAUCGGGAUAACUGCCGGAAACGGCAGCUAAUACCGGAUACUAUCCGCACCUCGCAUGAGGAGCGGAUGAAAGCUUUCGCGGUCUGGGAUGGGGUCGCGGCCCAUCAGGUAGUGGGUAGGGCAGUGGCCUACCUAGCCAACGACGGGUAGCCGGACUGAGAGGUCGAUCGGCCACAUUGGGACUGAGAUACGGCCCAGACUCCUACGGGAGGCAGCAGUGGGGAAUAUUGCGCAAUGGGGGAAACCCUGACGCAGCAACGCCGCGUGCGGGAUGAAGGCUUUCGGGUUGUAAACCGCUUUCAGCAGGGAAGAUAAAAGACGGUACCUGCAGAAGAAGCCCCGGCUAACUACGUGCCAGCAGCCGCGGUAACAC
This 482-nucleotide ribosomal RNA is filed under the name uncultured bacterium. RNAcentral describes it as "bacterial SSU rRNA". It matches the Rfam family "Bacterial small subunit ribosomal RNA", at positions 28 to 526 of the family's 1533-position model. The record is from RNAcentral.